ACGUGCCAUACUGAGUUCAUGGUUGGAUUUUGAUGUUUCCAGGUUGCUUUAUGGAGGUCUCCACAAACUUGCCGUCAGAAGACAUUUUAAUGGUACUGUUGAAUCUGUUCCCACCAGAGCCCUCUCGUGGGCACGAUAUAUAUGUAAGUGAGGAAAACACAAACACCCUUGUCACUACUGGAGAGGAUGGCCUAAAAUUCUGGGAUUUAAGG
Aegilops tauschii subsp. strangulata is the source of this 212-nucleotide non-coding RNA. The record is from RefSeq and is a predicted model, not a curated record. Lineage: Eukaryota; Viridiplantae; Streptophyta; Magnoliopsida; Poales; Poaceae.